GAUAAUCAAAGUGCCGAAAGUGACAUUAUCUUCUUUUUUCGGAUUUUUAUAUGUUUAAUCGGUUUGUUGAAUACCUUUUUUUGUUCAUAAAGUGUUUUAAAUAUGUACUUUUUUAUUUUUUAUUUUUAUUUUGUUGAUGGCGGGAAUAUUUUAUCCGCUCAUCAUAUUGAUUGAUGUCGAAUUUAGAUCAAAUUCCGUAACGUAUUAUCCCGUUUACUCAAUCAAAAUUCAAUGUGAAUGCUUUAAAA
This 248-nucleotide long non-coding RNA is filed under the name Linum usitatissimum (flax). Its description in RNAcentral is "long non-coding RNA (LUSI_LNC003038)". The record is from RNAcentral. Lineage: Eukaryota; Viridiplantae; Streptophyta; Magnoliopsida; Malpighiales; Linaceae.